This 793-nucleotide long non-coding RNA is filed under the name Homo sapiens (human). RNAcentral's name for it is "HSALNT0389657". Lineage: Eukaryota; Metazoa; Chordata; Mammalia; Primates; Hominidae. The record is from RNAcentral.
CUCUUCGGGGACGCACGGUUGGAAGUUGUACCGUGACGUGAUGGUCAGAUCGGAUGAUAGAAUUUUGGUGCGUAACAAUUCCAACUUUUGCUUCUGUGCCCUUCAAGUGUAUUUUAUCCGUGCCCCAGUUUUGCAGAUGAGGAGACUCGGACUUGUAAGUAACUUUCUGUAGGUCUUUGCUGGGUCCUAGACUGGAUCGAAACCCAAAUAUUCUGACCCCAACUGCAGGAUUUUUCCACUGCACCUGGCUGCCUCCGCCCUGGCCCCAGAUUGGCUCCUCCAGAAACAGACUAGCCCGGCCCUUUGCCCUGCUGGGCCCUCCUGGGAGAGCGCUUUUCACAACAUUGGCUGGGAUGAGGGUCUGGAGGGCCCGGAACGGAGCCUGCCUUCUCCUUCUCAGUCACGCUUGGCCCAGGCUGCCCCGGACCGGGCCACAUCCUUGGCCGCCCCGCACCUGACGUGAGAAGAGGCUACGUAUCAUAGAUUCCUCCAUCAGUAGUAAGGAGCCUGAGUUUCUGUCUCAGGUCAGCUUGUGUGGCUUUGAAUGAGAGGCUCUGGUCUGCAGUUUUCACAUCUGCAUCGUCUAAAGGCAAGGGCACAGACUUUACUGCCUGGUAGACAUGGGGUAGGCCCUCCUUUAUUGGCAGUGUGACCCUGGGCAAAUUACUUGUCUUAAUCUCCAAUUCCACACCUGUGAAACCCCACCUCCAAGGUUGUGGGAACCCAAAAGAAUGUAUGUAAAGCACCUGUUGCAUUGUAGGAAUCUACUUAAUAUUACUGUAGGAGGUUGAAC